RNAcentral lists this ribosomal RNA (421 nucleotides) under uncultured bacterium. Its description in RNAcentral is "partial 16S ribosomal RNA". It matches the Rfam family "Bacterial small subunit ribosomal RNA", at positions 360 to 773 of the family's 1533-position model. The record is from RNAcentral.
AAUAUUGGACAAUGGGGGCAACCCUGACCCAGCCAUGCCGCGUGUGUGAAGAAGGUCUUCGGAUUGUAAAGUACUUUAAGUUGGGAGGAAGGGCUUUAGGUUAAUACCCUCAAGUUUUGACGUUACCAACAGAAUAAGCACCGGCUAACUCUGUUCCAGCAGCCGCGGUAAUACAGAGGGUGCAAGGGUUAAUCGGAACUCCUGGGCGUAAAGCGGGCGUAAGUGGUUCAGUAAGGUGGGUGUGAAAUCCCCGGGCUUAACCUGGGAACUGCUUUCAUAACUGAUGAGCUAGAGUACGGUAGAGGGUAGUGGAAUUUCCUGUGUAGCGGUGAAGUGCGUAGAUAUAGGAAGGAACACCAGUGGCGAAGGCGACUACCUGGACUGAUACUGACACUGAGGUGCGAAAGCGUGGGGAGCAAAC